RNAcentral lists this ribosomal RNA (441 nucleotides) under uncultured Neocallimastigomycetes. Its description in RNAcentral is "LSU rRNA". It matches the Rfam family "Eukaryotic large subunit ribosomal RNA", at positions 107 to 542 of the family's 3401-position model. Lineage: Eukaryota; Fungi; Neocallimastigomycota; Neocallimastigomycetes. The record is from RNAcentral.
GCUCAAAUUUGAAAUCUUCAAGGUUUUACCUUGACGAAUUGUAGUUUAAAGAAGUGUUUUCUGUUGGUGUUUUGGUAAAAGUUCUUUGGAAUAGGACAUCAUAGAGGGUGAGAAUCCCGUAUUUGACCAUUACUUCCAGCGUUGUGAUACACUUUCAAAGAGUCGGAUUGUUUGGGAAUGCAGUCCAAAAUGGGUGGUAAAUUUCAUCUAAAGCUAAAUAUUGGCGAGAGACCGAUAGCGAACAAGUACCGUGAGGGAAAGAUGAAAAGGACUUUGAAAAGAGAGUUAAACAGUACGUGAAAUUGUCAAAAGGGAAGCGUUUGACACCAGUGUUGUUUUCUCGAAAAUCAAUUAAAAAAAGUUGGAUUUUGUAUUGUUAAGACCUUAUCAGCUUACUGUACUCUUUUCUUGCUUUUUUUAAUGCACUUUUCAUUUAACAAG